This 363-nucleotide ribosomal RNA is filed under the name Littorina keenae. RNAcentral describes it as "partial 12S ribosomal RNA". The record is from RNAcentral. Lineage: Eukaryota; Metazoa; Mollusca; Gastropoda; Littorinimorpha; Littorinidae.
UUAGACGUAAAUCGAUUUAAAUCUACCGGAGUACUACGAAUCAUAAAUUUAAAACUCAAAGAGCUUGGCGGUGCUUUAGACUUUUCAGGGGAACCUGUCUCAUAAUCGACAAUCCCCGAAUCAACCUCACCUUUCUUUGCGAAUCAGUAUGUAUACCGUCGUCGUCAGGUAACUUUUAAAAAGAUAAAAGUUAGCUUAAAACCCUUAGUUUUUACGUCAGAUCAAGGUGCAGCCUAUAGAAAGGGGAAGAUGGGUUACAAUUAAAACUUAUAACUACGGAUAUUGGCUAUAAUAAAGCCAUUUUGAAGGAGGACUUGAAAGUAAAAGCUAGUAGCUAAAUGCUUUGAAUUAAGCUCUGAAGCG